GACGAACGCUGGCGGCGUGCUUAACACAUGCAAGUCGAACGGAAAGGCCCUGCUUGCAGGGUACUCGAGUGGCGAACGGGUGAGUAACACGUGGGUGAUCUGCCCUGCACUUCGGGAUAAGCUUGGGAAACUGGGUCUAAUACCGGAUAGGAACCAUCUUUAGUGCGGUGGUUGGAAAGUUUUUUCGGUGUAGGAUGAGCUCGCGGCCUAUCAGCUUGUUGGUGGGGUAAUGGCCUACCAAGGCGGCGACGGGUAGCCGGCCUGAGAGGAUGUACGGCCACAUUGGGACUGAGAUACGGCCCAGACUCCUACGGGAGGCAGCAGUGGGGAAUAUUGCACAAUGGGCGCAAGCCUGAUGCAGCGACGCCGCGUGGGGGAUGAAGGCCUUCGGGUUGUAAACUCCUUUCGCUAGGGACGAAGCUUUGUUGUGACGGUACCUAGAUAAGAAGCACCGGCUAACUACGUG
Molecule: ribosomal RNA, 466 nt
Filed under: uncultured bacterium
Lineage: Bacteria
Description: partial 16S ribosomal RNA
Rfam family: Bacterial small subunit ribosomal RNA
Source: RNAcentral